UGACGGACGUUUGUGUCAGAUCUGGUCGCCGGCAGCGUCGAAUGUAAUGGACUUCUCAUUGCCAUCUAUGGCUGAUUGACUAUCUAUAAUAGGAGACGACACGUCUUCCAUCGACCACGCUGUUUUUCACCUCCUCUUCUGACACAAUCCAUUGUGAUGUCUUGGUUCUGUCAAUGCCGCCGCGCGCACACAAAACUGGUGGCUGGCGCAAGAAUCUUCCAGGCCCUUUGGUACAUAGCGGCUCUUUCCACUUCCUUUUAUUCUUCAUCAAUCAGAAUUCUCUCUUCUUCCUCUUUUCAACAAGAGAAAAGGAAGAUAAUUGACAGAAUUCUUUCUGUCUUUCAGACGAUCCGUCGAUAUUUCAAAAUUGGAACCCUUUAAGAGACGUCCAACUCUCGUCUGGGUAAUUUAAAUAUUUAAAAGAAGUAAAACUAGAAAAAUCCAGGUACAUUCCACUAUGUUGGCGAGCCGAUGUACGGGGUCCGAUUAUCAAAACCGGAGCGUUGUUUUUCUUCUUAAGAACCGGGGAAGAGGCUCAUCAUUAAUUUAUCUGACGUGAGUCACGAUGAGACAAAUUCCGGUCGUCAGUGUUGUGGUUCAAUGGACGACGACACCGUUAAGUUUUGAGCUAGCUCCCAUGAAAGUUGCAUGCAGUUUGCUUUGAGUGCAGAUCGCCUCCAGGGUCCAUUAGGAGUGGAUGGGACAUUGACGCUGGCCGCACACAAUGGGCUCUUCCCCCGCCGCAUUGUAUCGAGCAGGAAAUGGAUUUGUAAAAGGAUGUCUUCCAAACGCAAAAGUCCUCCUUCCAAACUGUCGACCGACGAACUGAAGAAUGGUCCUUUAGAGAUCCAAUUCGACAGCAGCGAAGACGACAGUAAGACUUUCCUGCAGGAAGACGACCUGUUGACGGAAUGCGACGCGGAGUCCACCGACAGUGGUAGCAAACCCCCUCCAGAAUUGCCCACUGAUUCCGAAUACGAUACCGACAGUUGUCACAAUUUGACGACCGAUCCCCUCCAUCCUCGCCAAGAAAUCCGGGCUGGCAAGCGUUCCAUGGAUGAUGUCCUUAAGCGCCUCACUUCCAAAUUCAACAAUGGCACGGCCGUUCAGGAGAGUGCCGAUCAACACUGCCAAGUUUUAUCUUCGGCUAGUGCGCCCGGAAACGAAGGAAAUCAAAUGAACCACAUUCACCCCCUGAUGCUGUUAGAUAGCGAGCCUUUCCGGACGGCUCUGGCCGGAGAUAGCCUCCGAGAGAAGGAAAAGCGGCUGACGGAGAUGAUCAAUCAGUUGCAACAAUUGAGGGAACAAUUGCUCUUCCAGCAAAGGCAACAAUCUCAGAGUUGUCAAGAAGAAGCGCAGCAUCGGGACGUACAAAGAAAGCAGCGGGAACAGAUCGAGAAACAACAACAGCAACUGGCUCAGCAGCAGCAUAGAAUACAAGAGCUGCAGAAUCGCCUGAAUGGGCACUACAUCGCCGCUUCCAGCAAACCCCUAUCUCCUGCCCUGUCCACCAUACCUCCUCAAGGCUUGAUGUUCAUGCCGGUUUUCGACAGUGGACUGGCCAGUGCGGCCGCUCCGGUGGCCGGACUGACGACAUCGGCGCCCCCGUUACCCCCGACGGUGCCCUCGAGACAGAUGUCUCCCAACUUGGCAUCGCAACUCGUGUCAGUAGCCAUGGGCGAUACGCCACCAACGAUCUCUCUGACCUCGUGGAUGUCACAUCCCGUUUUGCCUGUCACUAGUACUUCCUUGUCGCCUUCCUCCCUCAACGCUUCUUCAAACUGCGUUUCCAGAAAUCAGGUGUCCGGACAGGAAUCUGAUGCCCCUCUCAAUCUAUCUAAACCCAAAUGUGCGUCGAUGGGCAGCAACUGUAGCAGUACCAGUUGCAGUCCUUCUCCACAGACUAGUUUACGACACGAAUCUGCACCGCCUUCCUUACCCUUGUGCCCUACUGCUUUGAUACAAUCCGUUUCCGGUUCCUCCACCCUUCCCGUAGCGUCACAGUUCAUGACUGCUUCUCCCCAUUAUAGCCAUAUAACAACUCAUUUGAGAACGUCUUUCUCUGCCUCUGAUCUUAUUGGGCAUUCAGUAACUCCGAACAAAGAUACAAUUCGCCCUCUCUUGGGUAACGAAUGCAGUGACUUCACCGUUUACAUGAAUACGACGCGGAAGGAUACUAUCGAUACCAGCGAGAAAAAAAGUGAAAAUGUCAUUAAUUGUCAAAGUAAAAUUCUCGGAGCCAAAAUUAUUCGACAAACUAAAAAGGACAGCGAUGGCAAACCGCACAUAAAAAGGCCUAUGAAUGCGUUCAUGGUAUGGGCGAAAGACGAAAGGAGGAAGAUCUUGAAAGCGUGCCCAGAUAUGCAUAAUUCGAACAUAUCCAAAAUUUUAGAGCAUUUUUCGUUCAGGUGCAAGAUGGAAAGCCAUGUCCAAUACGGAAAAGCAACCGUAUUACGAAGAACAAUCGCGCUUGAGCAAACUACACAUGGAGAAACACCCCGAUUACAGAUACAGGCCAAGACCUAAGAGAACAUGCAUCGUAGACGGAAAGAAGUUGAGAAUAUCGGAAUAUAAACAGAUUAUGAGGAAUCGUCGACAAGAAAUGAAGAGCCUCUGGUAUCGAGAGAACGGAUUGGGUCUUCUGGAUCCACCUACAUUAGUCAAUCCCUUGAUGAGCGGAAAUGCCGAGUUGAUGAGAGCGAAGAUGUCCGGUGGUACCACCAAUGGUCUAUCGGAACUGCAAGCUUCCGACCCUUCC
RNAcentral lists this unclassified non-coding RNA (2758 nucleotides) under Centruroides sculpturatus (bark scorpion). RNAcentral's name for it is "transcription factor Sox-6-like, transcript variant X4". The record is from RNAcentral. Lineage: Eukaryota; Metazoa; Arthropoda; Arachnida; Scorpiones; Buthidae.